UGGACUCACUCUCAGGAAC
This 19-nucleotide non-coding RNA is filed under the name Arabidopsis thaliana (thale cress). Lineage: Eukaryota; Viridiplantae; Streptophyta; Magnoliopsida; Brassicales; Brassicaceae. The record is from RNAcentral.